GUUUAACACCUGCCUGAAGAGCUGAAACUCCCAAAUGUCACAGGAAAUGAGGCCGAAGAGAAACGUGACCUUAGGAGUCUGCAGGUGGAAUCAGCACCAUGUGUUUUGAUGGUACAAACCCCAUAAAUUGAAAAAAAAAAAUAGCCUUUCCUAGCUGAAAAGAAUUGGUAAACAUUUAGGAAGUCCUGUGUAUAUUUAUACAGAAGUUAAAUCGACUCUUUUUUGCUGUAAAAAUACCCUGCCAGUAAAAGGCAGUCUCUGCUGGUACGAAUUGUUUGUUCCUUCUGCCCCUUCAUCUUAGAUGUUCUCUCUGCUCACUAUUUCACAUCACCAUUAUUAAUGCCCUUUUUAUUUUUUAUUUAUUUUUUUCUGUGUGGCAAAUCUCUACAGGAAAAAGAAAAAAAACAACACAAAAAAAAAACCCCAAACAGAUAGAGAAAUGAUUAAGGAGUCUCCCCCCUCCUGCAUUUCUUUCUUUUACCAGUUUGUCCAGCAAGGGGCAGACAGAGCGGUACCCAAAACGAUGAAGCCAGUCAGAUCUAUAUUUUAAGAAAAAUGCUGCAUUUUGUCUAAAAUAAGAAACGCCAUCGAGAUAACGCUGUGCCUUCGUUUAAUUACAUUGCCACUGUAAUUAGACAAGAGAAACAUUCAGCAUUUUCAGGCUGGAGGCAGUGAUUUCUCCGUUCUGGGCAGCUCAAACCUCCCUAAUAUACAUUUCAGGUCUUACCCUCCUUUGUGGGAGGGAAGAAUCUAGGGAUCUCCAAAUCAUUAAGCCGUGUCACAUCGUUAAGCAACCAGCACGUUCUAGAAAAAUACUGAUGAAGGAUCAGUGCUUAAGGAACAAAUUUCUGAAGAUGAGUUUUCCCUUAAAGAAAUCAAAUAGAUCCCAAGCAAAAUAUCUGUAAGGGAAAAUAUUCACUAAAAAUUUAAUAGUUCUCUGCCUUAACUGAAGAAGUGCAGCUGCUUACACGAACUGUGUGGUAGAUUUUUUUUCUAAGUAAAUCCUAAUACCUUAAUUCUUGCCUUUCUCUCUUAGAAUGCAUCCUACAGAGGGUACAGCUGGGCUGACUGCUGUGUGCUUCCCCCUCCCUGCCCCCCACCAUCCUCAAAACCACCCAGUUCCUUAAAACCUGCUGGUUUGGGUUGGAAUUAUCAUUUAUAUUGAUGAUUUCUCUGCGGUCCUCCUCCUCCUCCAGUUA
This 1199-nucleotide long non-coding RNA is filed under the name Calidris pugnax (ruff). Its description in RNAcentral is "lncRNA (ENSCPUG00000012592.1)". The record is from RNAcentral. Lineage: Eukaryota; Metazoa; Chordata; Aves; Charadriiformes; Scolopacidae.